RNAcentral lists this ribosomal RNA (253 nucleotides) under uncultured bacterium. RNAcentral describes it as "partial 16S ribosomal RNA". It matches the Rfam family "Bacterial small subunit ribosomal RNA", at positions 524 to 776 of the family's 1533-position model. The record is from RNAcentral.
AACGUAGGACGCAAGCGUUAUCCGGAGUUACUGGGCGUAAAGCGCGGGCAGGCGGUCUUGCCAGUCUGAUGUGAAAUCUCUCAGCUCAACUGGGAGCAGCCAUUGGAAACUACAAGACUGGAGUCUGGCAGAGGUAGGCGGAAUUCCGGGUGGAGUGGUGAAAUGCGUAGAUAUCUGGAGGAACACCGGUGGCGAAGGCGGCGUCCUGGACCAAUACUGACACUGAGGAGCGAAAGCCAGGGGAGCAAACGGG